This is a long non-coding RNA of Dendroctonus ponderosae (mountain pine beetle), 577 nucleotides long. RefSeq lists it as uncharacterized. The transcript has 2 exons. The record is from RefSeq and is a predicted model, not a curated record. NCBI's taxonomy places the organism in Eukaryota, Metazoa, Arthropoda, Insecta, Coleoptera, Curculionidae.
UGAUGACGUGCAAGGGUUUUAGUUUUAGAUUAAGUAUAGGUACAUUUUCAUCAUUAGUCGGCUUCUGUAUGACCUAAUGGAAAAGCCCCUUCUGUAUAACAUACUUUAUAAUACCAGGAAGGAAUAUACCACAUAAUACAAAACGGAAUCAAAAAGGUCAAAGAUAUCAAAGACCGCUCGCAAAACGACUGGAGACUAUUGUUUGGCCUUUUGAGAUGCAGCAGAAGGACUGCAAUAAAACAUCUCCAAUUACUUCAAGGGAGGAAUGUUCCUGCCAGACGAUAUAUUGAUGUGUGGUUCGAAUAGAUUGGAGCACCUUCGCAGUUUGAUUCAGAAGCGAUCAUUUUUGCAGUCUACAAUUGUGUUUGGAAAAUGGCGGUGUAUCAAAGUGCUUUAAAACAUUUGCUGUUAAUUCAGUUUAGGUUUUUCGUUGCUUUUUUCCUAAAUGUUAUAAAAUUGAAAAUUUUCAGUGAUUUUAACAAAGAAAAGUGUUUGUUUGCAGAUACCAAGUAUUUAUUAUACAAGAAUUGAAUGUAUUCUGUGGUGUUUCGGUACCAAUAAAGAAGGCUCAAUUUAA